CCUACAAAGCGCUGCCAGAUCAACGAGCAUGAAUCAUCUCGAUAUAGACUCCCUUUUUUUUCAUCUUACACUCUCAGCUGAUGCGUUUAUGCAGGAGAAAGAUCAAACGUGAGCGGCGGAAGAAGAAGAAGUUGAAAUUCCGUGAAUGUCAGAGGUCAGAGAGUUCAGAAACUGCAUGUACGGAGCGACGCUGGAUGUUAGAGAUGAUGGAGCGUGGCAGUGGGUGUUGAAGGAGGAAAACUGGUGUGUGGAAGUCCAGGAAGACGAGCAGACCACAGGCGAGGUAAGGAAACCAUACUGUUUGGUGCCCGUAAAUGAAGACAACAGGAGGGUUAAGGUAAAAAUGCAGGAACUACAAAAAAAGAAGACAAAGAAGAAGAAGAAAAAAACAGCCUUCCUUAACUUGACAGCAACACAUUUUGGUUUUUGUUUGUUUUGAGAGUUGUGGACUUUUCCCAUCCCUGCAGAGCAGAGUGUCGUCUUUCUGCCGAAGCUGCUACAUGGAAUUUCGGCAGCGCUGGAGUAAUGAGGUUUUCACAGGAUGGCAAUAAGAAAAUAAAAAGAAGAAGAAGGAGAAGGAAAAAAGAAAAAACAACGGUGGCUCUCCUCUCUCUCAUUUUUUUUUUUUUUUGGAAGAAAACUCUGCAAACGUUCCUUGGAGUGGAUGGGAUGAGGAGAUAACGAAACAGACGGGAGGUUUUUACACGAGAAGCGAAAUCUGCUAACGGGAGCCAAGCAAAAGCAGAAACUACAGCAGAGGCCAGAAGAGAAGCAGAAAACAUGGGCCUCUUUCAAAUCAGGGAGAAAAAAAAAAUAGAAAUCAAACAAUUAGAAAAAGAAUUGGGAGAGAGGCAGAGGAUUAAACUGCUUCUCCCUUCUUUUCUAACAAACUAACUAAUGAAGAAAGUCUGGGGUUGUUGAGGACAAAUCUCGCCGAGGAUAAUAAAAAAAAGUGCACCUUCUGAAACAUAUGGACACUUGGCACAUUUCUUGGCACCCUCUUAAUAGUUCCACUCCCAAAGUCAGAUUCUGUGGUUUUCGAGUGCCGCUGCUGCAUAUGGAAGUGUUAAACUUUUUGUCACCUUUAAUUGACAUCACAUUGCGCCGAUUGAACUCUGAAACGCCGCGGUAAACACUUUCCCCCACCGGUGCCGAUCGACCCGAGCGAAGGGGAGGAAGGAGGAGUCGGAGGAGUCGGAGCAGGCGGCGGCGGCGUUCUGGUUGGGGCCUUUUUUUUUUUUCCCCAUCAUUUCUCGCUCGCGGUGAUGCAGAGACUUUGGGAAAGAAAAGGAGAAGCUAAGUGCAGUGAAACGGCAUAAGACAUCAAAAUUAGGACUGUGUGUGUGUGCAGUGUGAAGUGGAAUGAGUUAUCAAAAAUGGCUCAUAUUAGGUAGGUUGACUCUCCCUUCUGGGCAAAGAUCUUUGAGAAGCAGCGCCGGGAAACAGAAGAUGUGGAAUGUUCUAAAAAAAAAAAAAAAAAAAAACUCUGGUUAGCAGCGGCUCUCCCUUGGACAUUGGUUUUUAAAACGGAGGGUGUGGGCGGAGUGACGAGACACAUGAUUGAUUAAUGACUUACUUUUCCACUUAAAGGCCACAGCUACUCCUCACUCGGCUCCAAAGUCGAGUUUCAUUUAACUUUAAUUUAUGAGGGAACGCUAAGGUAAGGCUGGAUCGGCGCUCGUCGGCUCACUCAGGAGACAAGGUUGGUGUCAGGAGAGCGUUCGCUUGUCUUGGUGGAGGAGAUGCGAGCGAGUGUGUGCGGCGUGGAAGCCUUCAGACUGCGCGUUUGAGGCUGCGUCAUAAAUAAUGCACUCCGUCUAAAAAGGGAAGGCUCUCCAAUUAAUGCACAGACAAAUGGGGAAACUGAAAAAGACAACUUUGCACACAGAUAAAAUUCUCUUUUUUGUCCUUUCCUACCCCCUGUUGUGCAAAAGUACUCCGCAUCACCUCGGAAAAAAAAAAAAAAGUCCAAGACAGAAGCGAUAUUCUGCCAAGUUUGGAGCCUUUAAAGCACCAGUGUGCUAAAUUCUGCCGUCUUAUGUGUUAGAAAUCCAGUUUUGUCCUCGUUUGUGUUGUUAAAGUUGAAUUUCUUCACCUAUAAGAUGAGUUUCUGAUCCUCGUUUUGAUCCUGUUUGGCUUUUGCACGCUGCCAUAUGUUGUUUUCUGCAUCAUCUUUGCAUUUCAUAACGCUUAAAAAUGAGAUUUAGCAAAUGUCAGAGGGGAUAUUUGGUUAAUUAAAGGUUAAAAAGAAAGCAGUUUUGGGUUUCUAUCUUUACUCAAGAGGGGGGAAAAUCAGCAUUCUGCUUCUUUUUCUUGUUUGAUAUUAGAAAAUGUGUUUACUGUUUAGUGGAAGGCAUUAAAAAAGAAGAAAACAGUCA
Molecule: long non-coding RNA, 2378 nt
Organism: Acanthochromis polyacanthus (spiny chromis)
Lineage: Eukaryota; Metazoa; Chordata; Actinopteri; Pomacentridae
Exons: 3
Source: RefSeq, a predicted model, not a curated record